CCAGGUAGGUGUUGUUUGUUCCUGAAUAAAACAGCCUGUGGUUUUGGGCCUGGAGAAAAAUCGGGACAAAGCUGUUAAAGGUGGCCAUGGAAGCAGCAGUGAAAAAGUUACAAGUAAUGGUGCAGAAAGACAGUAACAUUCAGGGGAAAAUUACAAGGAACAGACUGGCAGAAAAUGGCAGAGGAAAUAUUUGCCCCUACUUUUAAAAGUAACUGGCUACACUGGGCAUUUCCAAUUUUAAGUGGAGCUGCACAAAGUGGCCUGUGCUUAGCCCAGAGUAAACUCUCCAGUGCUACAGUUCAACCAACCGCUAUUGAAAGAGUAAUACAGCCAUAUCCUAGGCCUGUGAGGGAAUCCGAUCUUCAUGGUUAAAGCCUGAAAAUGUGACAUUACUGCAUCAAAGUGCAAACCAAAAGAACUCAGAAUUCAUUACUUUGUUUUGCGUCUUUUGUUCCUUUUCCUUUAAAAAAUAGUCAUGAUUAUUAAAUAAAUCACAUGAUUUAUCUGACAUCACUUCUGAAAACUGGGGCAGACAAUACCAUUAAAUCAUGGGGGAAAGCUUGAUACUAGAAGGCAGUUUUUUAAAUCAUAUGCUGGAAUUAUGCCCCAACAA
Alligator sinensis (Chinese alligator) is the source of this 613-nucleotide long non-coding RNA. RefSeq lists it as uncharacterized. Lineage: Eukaryota; Metazoa; Chordata; Crocodylia; Alligatoridae. The record is from RefSeq and is a predicted model, not a curated record. The transcript is spliced from 5 exons.